UACAGAUGCAGAUUCUCUGACUUC
This 24-nucleotide microRNA is filed under the name Homo sapiens (human). Its description in RNAcentral is "hsa-miR-5683". The record is from miRBase by way of RNAcentral. Lineage: Eukaryota; Metazoa; Chordata; Mammalia; Primates; Hominidae.